This 117-nucleotide small RNA is filed under the name Marmota monax (woodchuck). Lineage: Eukaryota; Metazoa; Chordata; Mammalia; Rodentia; Sciuridae. The record is from RNAcentral.
GCUGGGUGUGGUGGUACACACCUGUAGUCCCAGCUCCGUAGGAAGCUGAGGCAAGAGGACUGCUUGAGCCCAGGAGUUUGAGGCUUGCAUGGGCAACAUACUGAGACCUUGUUUCAA